This 504-nucleotide ribosomal RNA is filed under the name uncultured bacterium. RNAcentral describes it as "bacterial SSU rRNA". It matches the Rfam family "Bacterial small subunit ribosomal RNA", at positions 8 to 507 of the family's 1533-position model. The record is from RNAcentral.
AGAGUUUUGAUCCUGGCUCAGAUUGAACGCUGGCGGCAUGCCUUACACAUGUCAAGUCGAACGGUAACGGGUCUUCGGGUGCCGACGAGUGGCGAACGGGUGAGUAAUGCAUCGGAACGUACCUUUCAGUGGGGGAUAACGUAGCGAAAGUUACGCUAAUACCGCAUAUUCUGUGAGCAGGAAAGCAGGGGAUCGCAAGACCUUGCGCUGAUUGAGCGGCCGAUGUCAGAUUAGCUAGUUGGUGAGGUAAAGGCUCACCAAGGCGACGAUCUGUAGCGGGUCUGAGAGGAUGAUCCGCCACACUGGAACUGAGACACGGUCCAGACUCCUACGGGAGGCAGCAGUGGGGAAUUUUGGACAAUGGGGGCAACCCUGAUCCAGCCAUGCCGCGUGAGUGAAGAAGGCCUUCGGGUUGUAAAGCUCUUUCGGCCGGGAAGAAAUCGUAUGGGUUAAUACCCUGUGCGGAUGACGGUACCGGCAUAAGAAGCACCGGCUAACUACGUG